GCUGGCGGCAGGCUUAACACAUGCAAGUCGAACGGUAACAGAGAAUAGCUUGCUAUUUUGCUGACGAGUGGCGGACGGGUGAGUAAUGCUUGGGUAUAUGCCAAUAGGUGGGGGACAACAGUUGGAAACGACUGCUAAUACCGCAUAAUCUCUUCGGAGCAAAGCAGGGGACCAUCGGGCCUUGCGCCUAUUGAUUAGCCCAAGUGGGAUCAGCUAGUUGGUAAGGUAAUGGCUUACCAAGGCGACGAUCCCUAGCUGGUCUUAGAGGAUGACCAGCCACACUGGAACUGAGACACGGUCCAGACUCCUACGGGAGGCAGCAGUGGGGAAUAUUGCACAAUGGAGGAAACUCUGAUGCAGCCAUGCCGCGUGUGUGAAGAAGGCUUUCGGGUUGUAAAGCACUUUCAGCGAGGAGGAAAGGGCGUAGGUUAAUAACUUGCGUCUGUGACGUUACUCGCAGAAGAAGCACCGGCUAACUCCGUG
Molecule: ribosomal RNA, 483 nt
Filed under: uncultured bacterium
Lineage: Bacteria
Description: bacterial SSU rRNA
Rfam family: Bacterial small subunit ribosomal RNA
Source: RNAcentral